RNAcentral lists this long non-coding RNA (203 nucleotides) under Homo sapiens (human). RNAcentral's name for it is "non-protein coding lnc-KIAA0232-1:2". The record is from RNAcentral. Lineage: Eukaryota; Metazoa; Chordata; Mammalia; Primates; Hominidae.
CUCUCUUCCACAAGCACAACCCUUCUUCAGACGUCCAUAUACACUUCUCCCAAAAUCCUGUGCUUAACACAUUGUUACUGAGCACACAGGCGUGCUGGGGCAAGCGACGCCUGGGAAUAUGAAGCGAACGCCACACACUAGAACGCGCCCUGGGAGCUGGCCUCCGGUGGGGGACGCAGGUGUUGAAGACAUAACCGCAUGAC